UACGUAGGGGGCAAGCGUUUGUCCGGAAUCAUUGGGCGUAAAGCGCGUGUAGGCGGUCCGGUAAGUCCGCUGUGAAAGUCGGGGGCUCAACCUCGGAUGCCGGUGGAUACUGUCGGGCUUGAGUACGGAAGAGGCGAGUGGAAUUCCUGGUGUAGCGGUGAAAUGCGCAGAUAUCAGGAGGAACACCAAUUGCGAAGGCAGCUCGCUGGGACGUUACUGACGCUGAGACGCGAAAGCGUGGGGAGCAAACAGGAUUAGAACCGUACGGUCAGAUCCAAGCCAGUCUGUCUACCCGUA
Molecule: ribosomal RNA, 297 nt
Filed under: uncultured bacterium
Lineage: Bacteria
Description: partial 16S ribosomal RNA
Rfam family: Bacterial small subunit ribosomal RNA
Source: RNAcentral